CCAAUAGCGUAUAUUAAAGUUGUUGCAGUUAAAAAGCUCGUAGUUGAAUUUCGGGAUCAAGGAAUCGGUCAUGCCUUGGUAUGUACUGGUUUUAUUGGUUCUCACCUUCUAAAGAACUAUAAUGUCAUUCAUUUGAUGUUAUGGGGAAUUAGGACUGUUACCUUGAAAAAAUUAGAGUGUUUAAAGCAGGCUUACGCUUGAAUACAUUAGCAUGGAAUAAUGAAAUAGGACGUUUGAUUCUAUUUUGUUGGUUUCUAGGAUUGACGUAAUGAUUAAUAGGGAUAGUUGGGGGCAUUAGUAUUCAAUUGUCAGAGGUGAAAUUCUUGGAUUUAUUGAAGACUAACUACUGCGAAAGCAUUUGCCAAGGAUGUUUUCAUUAAUCAAGAACGAAAGUUAGGGGAUCGAAGACGAUCAGAUACCGUCGUAGUCUUAACCAUAAACUAUGCCGACUAGGGAUCGGAUGAUGUUAAUUUUUUAAUGACUCAUUCGGCGCCUUACG
This 499-nucleotide ribosomal RNA is filed under the name uncultured Glomeromycotina. RNAcentral describes it as "partial small subunit ribosomal RNA". It matches the Rfam family "Eukaryotic small subunit ribosomal RNA", at positions 591 to 1092 of the family's 1831-position model. The record is from RNAcentral. Lineage: Eukaryota; Fungi; Glomeromycota.